AAUCCUGAGGGGGAGGAGAGAGAGAACGCGAGAGGGGGUGUGUGUGUGAGUGUGUGUGAGUGUGUGGGGCACUCGGGGACCUGCGCUGUGGCCGGGGCUCUCGCCUCCCCCGGGACCGCGGGACGCUGGGGAGAGGGCUCCCCGAACGAGCUCCUCCCGGUCGCCCACCUCCCCGGCAGCCGGACUCUGUCACCAGGCGGAACCGAAGCGGGAGGGCAGGCCCCCCUCGGCCUCCGUGGCACCAGCUAGUGGCUGGAACGUGGGGGCGGAGGUGGCGAGCAGGGGGUGCAGCUGUAAGGCAGCCAAGGUUCCUUUUCAUAUCCCUAAGCAGUAAAUCCUUUCAUCCGGCAGCGAGGCCCGUUUACUUCAGAAUAAAUACAGCUGAUCAGAAGAGGCAAAAGGAACAGCCAGGAGGUUUAAAGGGGUCCUGGCAAGUGGCACUGAGAUUUAACAAGCUACCGAGGGCCAGAACGGCUACAGGCGCCUCCAUCCUGGGACACAGAUGGCACAGGGGGCACAGGGUACCUCUUGGGGUCCGCCCUUGAGAGGGUCAAGAACGCGCCCCAUCUUGCGACGCUGCGGUGGCCGGUGUUCCUCCACACGGUCCACUCUUACCAGCUGACCACCUCCUGGUUUCUGCCCUGACCCCUCCCCCUGCGCACCCACCGCACAGGAAGAAAACCACGUGACCACGAAAGGCCUCACGCUCUGCUCAGGGCCUCAGUGCAGAGGGGACAGGAAGAGAAGGAAAUUAGCUCUUGCUGGGCUGCAUCCACGUGCCAGGCAGGGGGCCAGACUCACCUACUGACGGGAAGCUGGGCCCCCAAUCUCUUUCUUUUCUUUUUCUGUUUUUUUUUGGGCCACGCGGUGAGGCAUGUGGGAUCUUAGUUCCCUGACCAGGGAUCCAACCUGCGCCCCCUGCCCUGGAAACGCGGAGUCCCAACCACCGGACCGCCAGGGAAGUCCCCACCUCCCAUCUGCUUCUAACUGCGCCCUAUCUUUCCUUUAAAAAAAACCCCACAAAACUGUUUUAUUUUGCUCCCUCGUGUAUUUUUCUCUCUCCACCUCCCCGGGUCAGAGAGCCCCCAGACUGGCAACUGGAUCAGCUCCAGAGAGAGCAGGCAUUGCUCCCCUCUGGGGAAGGGGCUUCAGAGAGAGUGUAAUGUGAGCGGUGCCUGGAACUGUGCAAGGCAGCUGGCCUGGGCUCAGGUCUCCCUGAAGAGAGGAAUGGUUCCCACGUCUAGUCUUCAGCUGUAAUAAUAACAAUAGAAACAGGCAGUACUCACUGAGUACUUACUUCACGGCAGGCGCUGUGUGAAGAGAUUAAGUCUCAGAGACGUCAGCUUGCUGAGAUCACACAGCUGGUGAAUUUGCUCUACGCGUCAGGGCCUUAACUGUUUCUCACGUAUCUCUUGGGGAAGAAAAAAGCUGCCUCAACGACCAGAAUUAAACAUUAACAUUCCAGCUGGAAAAAAAUUCAAGGCCAGAGAGUGGGCGGAAGCAGUGCCGCCGCCGGCCACCGGAGGGCACCCUGGUCCCUCCGACAGAGGCUCCCGGGGGGCCCGGCGGUUCCCCCGGUUCUCAUCCCCUGAGAGCUCAAGCAGGCGCAAGGGAGGAGGGAGGGCCCGGAGCCCAGAUCCUGAUAUCUGGGUGCGGAGAGGCGGGUGCGGAGAGGCAGAGAGCGAGAGGGCGGGCAGAGGGGACGGGGGCGGCAGAGACACCCCAACGACGGAGGCGGAGUGGGCACCCCCAGAGCCCCGGGAGAGGAGCCACCGGCACCUCGGCCACUCCUCCCCAGGCUCUCAGGGAAGCAGAGGCCCCCGGGGAGCGAAGGCAGCGACCGCCCCGGCCCGCCCUGCUCCCAGGACAGCGAGGAACCCGAGGGGCCCGGGGUUAAUCAGCAGGCAAGUGUGCCGGGCUGAGAGCAUCCCGGGCGGGAGCCCACGGAGGGGACCACACUUGGCUCCUCUUCCUGAGCGUCGACCUGGCGUCCGGCGCUCCUGCUGAGAGCGGUCACCUCCACUUACGAUUUCUCUCUUUACCUGUUCCUUCAUUUAUUUCAUACAGGGGGUCCCCGACUUACGACAGUUCAACUUAAAUUUUUAGACUUUGCGAUGGUGUGAAAGCGAGACGAACUCGGUGGAAACCAUACUUUGAAUUUUGCAUGCUGACCGUGCCCUGGCCUAGCGGUGCGCGGUGCACACUCUCUCGUGACGCUGCGCAGUGGCAGCUCCCGGUCAGCUACAGGGUCACCCGGGCGGACGCAGACAGCCAUUCUGUUUCUCACUUUCGGUGCAGUGUUCAGUCAAUUACAUGAGAGCGUCAACACUUUAUUAUAAAAUAGGCUUUGUGUUAGAUGAUUUUGCCCAACUGUAGGCUGACGUAAGUGUUCUGAGCACAUUUAAGGUAGGCUGGGCUAAGCUGUGAUCUCUGGUAGGUUAGGUGUAAAAAUGCAUUUGUGACUUUUGAUAUUUUCAACUUAAAACAAUAGGUUUAUCGGGACAUCACCCCACUGCAAGUCGAGGAAGAUCUGUAUUGCAAUAUAAUUCAAAUACUGUGACAUUCAGUCUUUAAAAGUGUACAGUGUUUUUUUUUUUUAGUAUAUUCAAAGUUGUGCGAUCAUCACUACGGUCUCGUUCCAGAAGUUGUAGUACUUGCCCAUCAGCGUGCUCCUGAGAGAGGCCCUGCCACACCAGGGCUUCCAAGCCAACUGCAAGAAGCAUCUUCCCCUCUUCGCCGGAGCUAGGACUGCCAGCUGCAAACAGGGCCACCCUUCCAGCCCCACAACCAGCCACAGCUUUCUGUCAGCGGCCCUUCUUGACGACGAACAGUCGUCCCCCGAGACGGGCGGCUGGGGGAGAGCGAGGGCACGGCCAUCAGACGGCAGGAGGCCCAGCGGCCCGUCCCUGUGCGAGCAGGGCCGCCCUGCCUGCGCUCUGGUUUUGACCCCUGCUCCUUGGUGGGCUGAGACUUAGAUUGCAGGGGGGGCCCGCAGGCUAGCUGGGGGCGUCAGACGGCAGCAGGGGCUUUCCUUCUGAGGGGCCGGGGGCUGGACCCCAGCAGCACGUUUGCACAGGACUGAGGGGUCUUCCUGACUGAGAGCAGUAAGACUGGCUGCCAGAGGAGCCGACGGCGUCUCAGCUCUCAUUAACCGCAACCCUCCCUUGCUCAGCCAGAAACCUGGAGUCCUCCUGACAUCCUGGAAGCGCCCCCCCUCGCCCGCCCCACGUCCGUCAAUCACCGAGUCCUCUCAGGCCUGUUCCGGACAUUUCUCUUGAAUCUGUCUACUUCUUUCCACUUCCAUGGUCCCAUCCAAUGCCCCCCUCCACCUCUGCUUCCAGGACAACUGGACGACCUCCUACCCAGUUUUCUGCAACACUCUUGCCUCCUUCUAAUUGAGUAUCCAUACUGUGGCCAGAAAGAUCUCUGCGAUGUGGAUUUGACCAUUUUACAGCUCUGUGUGAAACCCUUCGCGGGCUUCCCAUUGCCCUUGGAGCACAGUCUCCCAUCCUUAUCCAGACGUAUGAGCUGGCAGGACCUGCCCUCUGCCUCCGCUCACCUUUCUGGACUUACCGGAGGCCCAGGGCAGCGCCCCUCGUGAUGUUCCAGCCACACAGAUCCUUCGGUUCUUCCCCUCCUCUGCCCUCCAUGCCCCCCUCCUCACCGCCCUCCUCACUCUUCAGGAUGAAGCCACCGAGCUCGCCUUUGGGAAGGCGAGGGUGGGCCUCCCUGCUCUGGCUUCCACACGUCUGUGACCCCCCCGCACUGUUUGUGUCUUUGCCCCAGGACUAUACGAUCCACCAAGUGACACCUGUGUCUCUCUGCCUGUUGCCUGACUCAGGCACCAGCAUGGUGCGGGACACACCGUAGGCACCUGAUAAAUACUUGCUGAAUGAAGGAAAGCAUGGACAAAUGGCGAAGAAGGGCUGCAGGGCCCUUUCCUUUCCCCUGGCAGGGUGACACCUGGGUGCUACACUCAGCUCUGCACAGUCCAUUUAAGAGGAAUAAACUAGUGGAGUCACGCACGGAACAGGGGGUCAGAGGGGUGGCGUCUGCAAACCAGGAUAUCAGACAAAUGACUGCCUUCAGAUCCUUUAGCCUGGAAGAGGAGACGAAGGAGGACGUGAGGCGGAGGCCCGACUCUGCAGGGCUGCCUCUGAGGGAGAUGCCAUAGGGAUCUAGAGUUUGGCUCUAGAAGACUUGAAGAUGCCCAGAAGGAGUGAGCUGCUUGUUGCUGGAGAUAUUCAAGCAGAAUACUUCCCAAAAGUAUGAAAGAGCGUCCUCUAGCUGUGACAGACUGUCAUCCCGAGGCCGGGCCGAACCAACAGCUUCUCCUGUUCAUGCUGGUUCUGGUGGGGCGGGGUGGGGGAAGUGCUCUGUCCAGAGGUCUGUGGCUGCAGAAGAGUCUGGAAGACUGACAAGAAGGUGCUUUUAGAAACACCAUGUGCUGCACUGUCCAUCUCCAAACCAAUGCUCUGACCCAUAAAGGUUCUUGGCACCUGGCUUAGGAAUCUUGGCAGAACUGUGUGAAAAGGCAGGCAGGCGGCUGCAGGUCUGUCCUUGCCUUUGGGGACAGGGACAACCCCAGGCUGUAGGCCCUACGACCCACGACGGCUGCUUCACCCUGAACUCAAACGUGUCACCACCCCCCAAGAGGGCUCGAGAGGAGCUUCUGGAGGACGAGGGCGUCCCCAUGCCCUCCCGCUGAUGGCAGUCGGCUCAGCACCCUUCCUGCCAGAGGCCUUCUGCGGAUGGGCCAGCUGCUUCUGACACCUGGAGGAGAUGGGCCGCCCGGGCUUUGAAGUGGAGCCAGCAGGGAGCUCUGCCAACGAGAGGCUGUACAAAUCCACCGGAUCAUGGAGGGACCCUUGCAGGCCAGGCCUCGGGGCUGGAGAGAGGGGCUCUGGCGGGGAUGUGAAGGCGCUCGAGUUCAGGCUGGCUCUGAGCUGAACCAUGUGAAGGGCGGAGGCCAGGGCAGCCACUGGAAUGGAGAAAGAGCACUCGGCAGGGCCUCAGCUAAUCCCCAGGGGGCUGGCCGUUCUCUCCCUCCCAUGCUGACUUCCAACAGCUGGGAUGGGCUGCCUGGCUGGGAGUUAAGUGGGUGCCAAGGAAGCAACAGCUUUCAGCCUGAACCUACUGACUUGCCAACUUCCUAUUCACCCUUAAGGGUCAGUAUGCCUGGUCUAGUGGCACGAGCUGUACCCUUUUUUUUUUUUUUGCAGUUGUGGGUUAGCAGCCCUGGGAUCAAACCCCAGCUCUAGAACUCACUUGGCCAAGUUACCUUUUCUUGGGCGAGUUAUGUUUUCUAUUGGAGUUUCAGCUUCCUCAUCUGUAUAAAGGAGAUAAUUAUAGUCCCUAUUUCACAGGAUUCUUGUGAAGAUUCAAUA
Hippopotamus amphibius kiboko is the source of this 5387-nucleotide long non-coding RNA. RefSeq lists it as uncharacterized. NCBI's taxonomy places the organism in Eukaryota, Metazoa, Chordata, Mammalia, Artiodactyla, Hippopotamidae. The record is from RefSeq and is a predicted model, not a curated record. The transcript is spliced from 3 exons.